This 2155-nucleotide long non-coding RNA is filed under the name Sarcophilus harrisii (Tasmanian devil). Its description in RNAcentral is "lncRNA (ENSSHAG00000031280.1)". The record is from RNAcentral. Lineage: Eukaryota; Metazoa; Chordata; Mammalia; Dasyuromorphia; Dasyuridae.
GAGUAAUUUAUCCAAUGUCAUACAGCUGUCAUGAGCCACAGGCAAUAUUUGAAUCCUGCCCUCCCUAAUUCUGAGGUUUGCUGUCUAUCCACUAUCACAAUUGCCUUUCAUUUGUAUAUAAAUAAAUGAUUUUGUCACAAAGGUUUACAUCUUAAAAUACUGGAAAUUCUUUUUGCCAGCAGUUUACAUUUUUCAUACAGACCUAACAAAUUUUUCAUUUUAUCUCCUUUAUGGUAGGUUUGUGGUGUAUGUGUGUGCCCAUAUGCAAGUACCCAUUUUUUCUUUAAAGAGUGAAAGCAAGCAAGGAUUCAGCAGCCUGAAUGGGAGAAACAAGAAUAAAAUUAACUCUUAAAAAUUAUUUGCCCAUUUAAUUACAGUUUUACAUAGUGUAAAGUGCCAAAAAAUAUAGGAUUUUCCAAAAGGGUUAGGCACUUUUAAUCUUCAAAAGCUUAAAAAUGCACUAAAGACUUUUGGGAUAUCCUGUAUAUUCCUGGAACACUAUAUAUUUUUACUAUUAGAACACUGAUUUUUAGGGAGUUAAGAGAAUAAGGAGAAACAUUGCUCCCCUGCUUUGUGCUUUGAAAGGAGUUUAGUUGAUCACUCAUAGCAUUCCAGUUGAAAGCCUUUCUUCUUCUCAUCUCGGGGCUUACUUUCCUUUGUAAAUGCCUGAAAUUGUUGGCUUGAAAUGGCCCCUAGUUUCCUUGACUCAUUAUUUACUAAGUAUUGGGUAUUCUCGGGGUACCUGACCCAAUCGUUGGUACAUAGGAUGGCUAUAGAACACUACCUUCUACCUGUAUUUGUCCUUGAGGAGUUUACCUAUUAAAUUCAAAUUGGUCUUGGAUCUGUCCACCAUUCCUUCCUUCAUCCUGGGAGCACCCUCAAGACCCUUUAUUCUGUAUUCCUAUUUGUAUUCCAAGACCUUUGGGAGAGUCUGCAAGCUGGCUGGAGAGAACAAGAGGGCAUAGCUCUUUACAAUCCAAUUCUGUCAAACUACACGUGGCCUUAUUUUAAUUUCUAACUAUGUGCUGUGUCUACCACAGCUAAGUCUUCUGGUACGUAUGCCAGCAGCUGAAGCAUUACAAUCUUUAGAAUUUUCAGAGAGGGAAUUAGAUGAACCCUGAACGUAAUCACACAAGUCAAGGCAAAUUAGGGUCCUUUUUUUUCCCUAGAGAGAGAGAUAGAGACAGAGAGAAAAGUUUGGUAUGACUAUUGGGAAAUUUAGCCCUGCAGGGCUUGCAAAAUGCCAUUUUUUUUCCCCUUUAUUAUCAACACAGCCCUCAUUCCAUUUUGGCUAUAGACUAAUUUUGCCUUCUAUUUCUAAUGCUUAAAGUAUUUUAUAACUAUAUAGUAUAAACUCAUCUUCAUUUUUAAACCUCAUCUCAGCCUUGCAGAGAACUCAAAACUUAACAAACCAUGCAAUUGUUUUUUAACAUCACUGUUUCUACCAUGGCUAUUCAAAGUUAGUACAAUCAGUAGAAUUCAUGUUCAUCACUGGGCUUAUAAAAGCCAGCCAACACCAACUAGGCAAAUGAUUAUCUGCAAGGCUUAAGCCAGAUAAAUGAGAGAAGACUGACCACUCUCUCUUUGUUUCCUCUGUCAAAUAUCAAGAAAGCACAGUCUAUUUUUUACGUGUACCUACAUGGAUAUUUUAUUAUGGAAAGGUGAGAUAAUGAGGAUGGUGAAGAUAUUCCAAGUAUUCCUUUUUGUUCAUCUCCCUCAUCACCUUCCAUCUUGUAUCAUACCUUUUUGUGUAAGUCUCACUGUGUUCCUUUCCAUUAGGUAAAUUCCUUAAAUUCAGAGACUUUUGUUGUAUAUGUCUGCAGCACUUAGCACAGUGCCUUUUAUGUUGGAGAAAACAAAUGUUUGUUAAUUUGGAUCAGAAUCAUAAGCAAAUGAGACUUGCUUAGGAAAAAAUGAUUGAAAUUACAUAUUGAUUUGAUGAUCGUAUUAGAAACAAGGAAGCUUAUAUAACUCAGAAUCAGGUCUUGACACUAGACUUUUUUUCCUUCUCUAAUUAAAGAAUAGGAAGUUAUUAUUAACAUAAAAGGGAAAAUGGUUUGCUUAUAUUUGCAUUUAUAUCUUUUGUUAUUAAAUGACAAAAGCACUUUGUGGCACUAGAACAUACCAACAUGAUGUAUGGACCAAAACACUUGUU